This 230-nucleotide ribosomal RNA is filed under the name uncultured bacterium. Its description in RNAcentral is "partial 16S ribosomal RNA". It matches the Rfam family "Bacterial small subunit ribosomal RNA", at positions 57 to 305 of the family's 1533-position model. The record is from RNAcentral.
GCAAGUCGAACGCUAUAUUAUCUUCGGAUAAUGGAAAGUGGCGGACGGGUGAGUAACGCGUAGUAACCUGCCCAAAGGUACGGAAUAACUCAGGGAAACUUGAGCUAAUACCGUAUAUUCCCUACGGGGGAAAGAUUUAUCGCCUUUGGAUGGGCCUGCGUUGGAUUAGCUAGUUGGUAAGGUAACGGCUUACCAAGGCGACGAUCCAUAGCUGGUCUGAGAGGAUGAUC